Molecule: long non-coding RNA, 2193 nt
Organism: Equus caballus (horse)
Lineage: Eukaryota; Metazoa; Chordata; Mammalia; Perissodactyla; Equidae
Source: RefSeq, a predicted model, not a curated record
CUUUGAGCCAGUGAGUUGCUGUUGGGCACCUCCGCAGCUCAAGCGGCGUCGUCCGUCUCUCCUCGCGCUAGACGCUCCUGUGAAAUUUCGUCCCCGAAGCAAGCUCUGUUGGAAGGAGCAGACUCUACUCAUUUCCAAGUGGUAAUCUUGGACUCCCUAUUUCCUCAGGGUAACCACCAGUCACACGUAGCUACUGAGCAUUUGAAAUGUGACUAGUCUGAACUGAGAUCACACACUGUAUUUUGAAGACUUAUGAAAAAAGAAUGUAAAAUAUCUCAAUCAUUUCUGUACUGAUUGCAUGGUAAAUGAUAAUACAUUGGACAUAUUGUUUAAAUAAAAUAUUAUUAAAAUUAGCUUCACUUUUUUUAAAUAUAGCUACUAGAAAAUUUAAAACUACAUAUGUGGUUUGCACUUGUGGCUCACAUUAUAUUUCUAUUAGACAAGGCUUGUCUAGCAUAUUUUACAGACAUUUAUAUUGGCCAAGUCAGCACAGAUUUUACUCAGGUUGAAUUUGACAAAGAGCUCUAAGCUGUAUUAAAUUGAUUCUUGGGGCUGGACCACUGGCAUAGUGGUUAACUUUGCAUGCUCCACUUUGGCAGCCUGGGGUUCGUGGGUUUGGAUGCACAGAUUGGCACAGAUGUUAGCUCAGGGACAAUCUUCCUCAAGCAAAAAAAAAAAAAAAGAUUCUUGGUAAACUUCAGAAAGAGGCCUAUGAUUUCUCCAAGGUCAAGCUCCUACAGUAUGAGGGUCUUUCCCAAUGCCAGGCCGCUGCAGUGUGGGUGGCUUCCCCUGUGCCAGGUUUCUGCCAUGUAUACCAGCCAGAGGCACCUAAUGAGUAAAUGCUUCCCCCAUCGCCCCUUCAGGCAGCUUCACAGCAGAAUGCUAUUGGGCAAGGGACCUCCCCAUGAAUGGCUUCCCAACUGGCAUCCCUCUGCUGGCCUUCCAGCAAAUCCAAAAGCACGACACUCCAGGAUUCAGUGAGCUAUGCUGCUGCACCUUCUCUGGCAUCUGGAUCUCAGCUCCAGGCAUGGGGAGGCCUCUUUGGGUGCUCUAUCUCAGCUCUAGUGUUAGCGGCUGCUCCUUAUUUCUGCUCUUCUUAUAUUCUAGAACUCUCUUUAACUUUUACUAGCCAAUCCCUCUUUACCCUAAUCUCUUACAUUAAACUUUUCCUGUUCAAGUUACUGGGUGGUUUCUGUCUCCUCAAUGAACCCUGACUAAUAUACCAACUAUUUUUAUUGGAUGUUUUUAUUCUCUACAUGUUAUUUUUGGUAUUUAUGUAAUGAAUUACCAUGUUGCAGUCCAAUAACUGAAGCUUUCUUAUUUUGCAAAGACUAACUGCCUGUCUAUGCUUGCAUCUACACGGAUUUUAGCACUGGUCUAAACUUAAGACAUUAAAAAACACCAGAAGGCAGAAUGUGAUACUGUCUUUAAAUCUGCCUCGAGUUUAUCUAUUGAAACUUUUAAGAGUUGUCUCUUUGAUGAAUAUGAAACUUAUUCAAAAUUUUAAACUGUUCACAAAUGUAAAACCAUUGAGGAUUUCACUCCAUAAUGUAUUCUCUCAUAGGGCUUUUUGUGGGGGAGGGAUCAGGAAAGGACAAAUUUGCCCUGAUCAGAUGAUUGGAAAACGGCUUGCCUUAACCUUUUAAACAAGUUAAUCCAAUGCUAAAAUUCUGUGUGUGAAUAGUAUCUUAGACCUCUGUCCUUCAUGAUGUAUGAUUAGCACUGUGGUUCCACACCGAGGCCGUAGAUGAGUAAGGAUUCUAUUUAAUGAAGGCAGAUUUACCGCAAAAGUAUUCUCACAUUGUAUACUAUCUUUAUUAAAGGAAUGCAUUCCAACAACACUCACCAUUGUCAGACUCUAUUACCAGAGAAAGAAAAUGUAUACCUUUAACAAAUCAUCUCUCUGUGCCUUAGUUUUCUCCUUUCCAAAGUAAAGGAGUUGUGUUACACCAUCUCCCGUCUCUUGCAACUCUAAAAGCACUGUGCUGUGCUGCGCUACCUCACAGGGCUCCGUCCCCAGGUUUCUCUCCCUGGAGCCAUCCCUAAUUGGACAGUUCUUCCCUCUGAGGCUUCCUGCUUCCUGUCUCUCUCCUCCCUUGGGGAGCUGCUUCUCCUCUGAGGACUGCUCCCGUUACACAUGAACCACGGACAGUUUCUGCCCUGACCACCACACUUUCUCCACUCCGAGGUUGC